Molecule: ribosomal RNA, 106 nt
Filed under: uncultured Basidiomycota
Lineage: Eukaryota; Fungi; Basidiomycota
Description: partial 18S ribosomal RNA
Source: RNAcentral
UUAGUGAGGUCUCCGAAUUGGCUUUGAGAACCCGGCAACGGGCUCUUGUUGCUGAGAAGCUGAUCAAACUUGGUCAUUUAGAGGAAGUAAAAGUCGUAACAAGGUU